This 243-nucleotide ribosomal RNA is filed under the name uncultured bacterium. RNAcentral's name for it is "partial 16S ribosomal RNA". It matches the Rfam family "Bacterial small subunit ribosomal RNA", at positions 15 to 239 of the family's 1533-position model. The record is from RNAcentral.
GAUCCUGGCUCAGGACGAACGCUGGCGGCGUGCCUGACACAUGCAAGUCGAACGGAGAAUUUUAUUUCGGUAGAAUUCUUAGUGGCGAACGGGUGAGUAACGCGUAGGCAACCUACCCUUUAGACGGGGACAACAUUCCGAAGGAGUGCUAAUACCGGAUGUGAUCAUCGUGCCGCAUGGCAGGAUGAAGAAAGAAUGGCCUCUACAAGUAAAGCUAUCGCUAAAGGAAUGGGCCCGUGCGGU